Molecule: long non-coding RNA, 678 nt
Organism: Salvia miltiorrhiza (redroot sage)
Lineage: Eukaryota; Viridiplantae; Streptophyta; Magnoliopsida; Lamiales; Lamiaceae
Exons: 3
Source: RefSeq, a predicted model, not a curated record
AAUGAAAGCAAAAAGGGGCGAGCCCUAGUCCUCCUUUGUCACAGAUCGCCGCCGCCGCUGAAGGGUCGGUGAGGCCGGUGCUCGUUUGUCGACGCCGGCGCCACUCCACCUCUGAUCUGUCGUCGUUUCUAGAAACAUCGCGCCGCUCUUCCUGAUCGAUUCCUCGCCGACUAGAAGAGGUGGCCGAGGAGGAGGAGAAGGAAUUGGAGGAGGAGCUUCCGUGGAUACAGGAGAAGGCUCUGGAUUUGGUUGAGUUUACGGGCUCUGUCACGCAGACGAUUCCGGCGCCGCGCGUCGGGCAGAUCUCGCUCCCAUGGAUUCAAAUUGUCGUCGUGAACACCAUCCGGAAGUUCAAUUCCCCUCGAGAGAAACGCCGCAAAUUGAUCUGCGUGAGGUAGAGAAUGUCAGGGAAAGGAGCAAAUGGGUUGUUGACGGGGAAAACUCCGGCUUCGAAAGACAAGGAUAAGGACAAGAAGAAACCCAUCACUCGCUCUUCCCGCGCCGGGCUUUAGAAAGACAAUAUAAGGAAUCAACGUGAGCAUGUUGUGCUUACUUUAGCCAACUCACAGUCGCGACUGGGCAUCCAAUAGAAACUGAUCUAGUUACUGCCUCAAUUAAGUUUGCUUGUAAGUUAUGUUUCAAUGUAAUAUAGGAUGAUGAGCAAUGUUUCAAUGUAAU